This 253-nucleotide ribosomal RNA is filed under the name uncultured bacterium. RNAcentral's name for it is "partial 16S ribosomal RNA". It matches the Rfam family "Bacterial small subunit ribosomal RNA", at positions 524 to 776 of the family's 1533-position model. The record is from RNAcentral.
UACGUAGGGGGCAAGCGUUGUCCGGAAUUAUUGGGCGUAAAGAGCGCGUAGGCGGUUCGCUAAGUCGGCUGUGAAAGUCAAGGGCUCAACCCUUGGAAGCCGGCCGAUACUGUCGGACUAGAGUCCGGAAGAGGCGAGUGGAAUUCCCGGUGUAGCGGUGAAAUGCGCAGAUAUCAGGAGGAACACCGAUGGCGAAGGCAGGUCUCUGGGCAUUAACUGACGCUGAGGAGCGAAAGCAUGGGGAGCGAACAGG